AUUGAACGCUGGCGGCAGGCCUAACACAUGCAAGUCGGACGGUAGCACAGAGAGCUUGCUCUUGGGUGACGAGUGGCGGACGGGUGAGUAAUGUCUGGGGAUCUGCCCGAUAGAGGGGGAUAACCACUGGAAACGGUGGCUAAUACCGCAUAACGUCGCAAGACCAAAGAGGGGGACCUUCGGGCCUCCCACUAUCGGAUGAACCCAGAUGGGAUUAGCUAGUAGGCGGGGUAAUGGCCCACCUAGGCGACGAUCCCUAGCUGGUCUGAGAGGAUGACCAGCCACACUGGAACUGAGACACGGUCCAGGCUCCUACGGGAGGCAGCAGUGGGGAAUAUUGCACAAUGGGCGCAAGCCUGAUGCAGCCAUGCUGCGUGUAUGAAGAAGGCCUUCGGGUUGUAAAGUACUUUCAGCGGGGAGGAAGGCGGUGAGGUUAAUAACCUCGCCGAUUGACGUUACCCGCAGAAGAAGCACCGGCUAACUCUGUGCCAGCAGCCGCAGUAA
This 504-nucleotide ribosomal RNA is filed under the name uncultured bacterium. Its description in RNAcentral is "partial 16S ribosomal RNA". It matches the Rfam family "Bacterial small subunit ribosomal RNA", at positions 29 to 523 of the family's 1533-position model. The record is from RNAcentral.